UAUGAAGAAAAAAGGACCGAGUCCCACCAAGUCUAGAUGGAAUUAGUCGGUCCGUAUCCACCACCAGCACCUAAUCAUUGCCUAAUCAUUGCCAUUCACCAGUAAUAUACCAAUUAUCAAAAUUAACUCAUCCUAAUCAUCAUCACACCACCGAUACAUCUACUACUACUCUCACACUAUCAUCAUAAUCAUAGCCGCUUAAAAUUUUCACACGCAUAUAUCUACAAAUCUACCACUUAAAACACUCUUAUAAUGACGGCCGAGGAAAAGAGCUUGAGCUUGUAUAUAAACAUCAAUUCCAGCAGGUGAGGAGCACGAAUUUCUCGCCAUUUUCGCCGACGAAUAGUUGAAGCUAUGGGUUGAAAGAGUUCCAUAAAUGGAUGAGUCUUUUUUUCAGAUGAAAUGUUUUGGUAGUGCUACUUCGUGAAUGCAUGUUCGUAUUGUAUUUCGCUGCUUUGAGCUUGAUUGUUGUGACUUUUGCUGUGAUUCUUGCUGAUUUUGUUGUUGUUGUUUUUGUUUCGGGUCAGUUUUGUGGUGGUUGUUGUUCGAGUGAUUUUUCUUUUCCGUAGGGUUUAUUGGAAUGGAGGAUGUGGAAAGGAGGAAGAGAGAGGAACAGAGGAGAGAGCAAAUAUGGGUCGCGAAUUCAUUGAACUCAAGCUCAUAAAUCUAUGCAAAUAUAUUAAAAGGCGUGCGAAAACAAGAAAAUGUGCUAGGUGGAGAAUAUCUCGUAGGGGACUUUUAAAUGAUUAAAAGUGGCCUACAUGCUAGUUUACACGAGAUUCAGUAUAGCAUUGACAUUACAGGUUCGCAGAUGUGCAUCAUUGAGAAUCUGGAGUGGAGAGAUUGUGUAACUAGCAUAGUUUAAUUUCUGCAUUUUUAAGAACAUAUUGUAUUUAAGUUCGUUUGAGUUGUUUAGGUUGGUUGGUUUAAGUUUUAAACACUUGUUAUUUAUUUAUUGAGUUAUAAUAAAGUUAAAUUUUAGUUAA
Beta vulgaris subsp. vulgaris (sugar beet) is the source of this 986-nucleotide long non-coding RNA. RefSeq lists it as uncharacterized. NCBI's taxonomy places the organism in Eukaryota, Viridiplantae, Streptophyta, Magnoliopsida, Caryophyllales, Amaranthaceae. The record is from RefSeq and is a predicted model, not a curated record. The transcript is spliced from 3 exons.